Long non-coding RNA from Diorhabda carinulata, 389 nucleotides. RefSeq lists it as uncharacterized. The transcript is spliced from 2 exons. The record is from RefSeq and is a predicted model, not a curated record. Lineage: Eukaryota; Metazoa; Arthropoda; Insecta; Coleoptera; Chrysomelidae.
GUUAGUAUUGUUCCCGUUUUCUAAUUAAUUACAGGUUUAAUGGUGUCUUCUGUUAUUUUCUAUUGAAUUUUAGUAUUCCACGAUGUUAAGCACGAGUUUAUUACUAAUUUUUUUACAUAUCGCAUCCUCGCGGGAAUCACCGAAAAAUAUGAACUGUUUGGAGAAGUCAAAUAUCUCAUGGGAUAUGAUAUCCGCUGAUGUGGUUGUGAGACAUAUACGUAUUGGUCGAAUUCCUAUCGACGAAUAUUGUUUUGGAAUUUGUGAAAAAUUUAAAUCUGGCUUAGACAUUUCAGAUAUUGACAAAAAAAUAUGUGAUUUCACUAUUAACUAAAACUUUUCAAUUUUUUUUCAUCAAUAAAUCUGUCUAGUGUGUUUUGAAAUGUAUAAAA